RNAcentral lists this ribosomal RNA (129 nucleotides) under uncultured eukaryote. RNAcentral describes it as "partial 18S ribosomal RNA". It matches the Rfam family "Eukaryotic small subunit ribosomal RNA", at positions 1299 to 1458 of the family's 1831-position model. The record is from RNAcentral.
UGGUGGAGUGAUUUGUCUGGUUAAUUCCGUUAACGAACGAGACCUCGACCAGCUAAAUAGUUUGGCGAACUCUUCUAGGUUCGUACUGGCAUAUCGGUGUGUAGCCGAUGGAAGUUCGAGGCAAUAACA